This 72-nucleotide transfer RNA is filed under the name Acidobacteriota bacterium. RNAcentral's name for it is "Acidobacteria bacterium tRNA-Gly". It matches the Rfam family "tRNA". Rfam says of the family: Transfer RNA (tRNA) molecules are approximately 80 nucleotides in length. Lineage: Bacteria; Pseudomonadati; Acidobacteriota. The record is from RNAcentral.
GCGGGCGUAGCUCAGGGGUAGAGCGUCUGCUUCCCAAGCAGAAGGUCGCGGGUUCGAAUCCCGUCGCCCGCU